AUGUUUUUGAACCGUACUGAAUUUAUUUGACGGUCAGUUUUUGAUUACAGGCAGACUCUAAUAAAACUACCAGGUUACAUCAGCAUAUAUCACAGUAACUCAAGUUAGACAUUAUGAUGUUCUGGACCUUUGCUGACUGGACCUCUCUGAAUUUUAGCUGAAUACCCCUGGCUUAGAAGAAGAGGGACAUGAGUCUAGAACUUCUAAUGACCCAACAUCAGUCAGUGGAGAAAAAAUAAGAAAAAGAAAGCAAAGCUAAAUGGCUGCUUUAAGGAAUUUAAGACAUGGAUGGGACUUAGGAAGCCUUGAUUUUAAGCUAAAUGCUUUAGAAGUCGAAAUGUCCAGUCCUUCCUUAUCUCUAACAAUUUCCUUAAAGAGGUCAUUUAGCCGUGAAAGCCUCAACACUUCACGGUUUGCCAGUAGGCGCUCUUCCACCACUGUCUGACAGAAAUGUCUGUAGCCUGCCUGAUACGGAUUUGCCUCUUCAGAAACCUCUCUCUUUGUUCCUCUCAGGUAUCUUGUGUAAUUUGCGAAGCAACUGUGGUGAUAGAUGGCCUCUUCCACGGAUUUGAAGCAACAGGUGUUCAUCCUUCUUCCCCUCAGCAGCAUGAAGGAGUUGAUCUGCUGUGGUAAACAAAGUUUAUACUCGGGCAUGCAACAGGCAGGAGCUGUGGAGCCCUUUUGGGUUGUUCUGGGCCACUUGAAGAGCGCAGAACCCGAACCUUGGAUGCAGCACCAUCACUGGUAUCUGGCAGCAGUUCUUCUGAACAUUGUAAUGGCACUAAAAUGUAAGUUACAAGUGAUCAAUAAAUAGAAAUGAUCUAAAUUCACAUUGUUUCUAACAAUUGUAAAUAAAUUAAAAA
Acanthochromis polyacanthus (spiny chromis) is the source of this 863-nucleotide long non-coding RNA. RefSeq lists it as uncharacterized. The record is from RefSeq and is a predicted model, not a curated record. The transcript has 2 exons. NCBI's taxonomy places the organism in Eukaryota, Metazoa, Chordata, Actinopteri, Pomacentridae.